UGCCUGAGUGGAAACCAGCAGUGAGAGACCAGAGAAGGGACUUCAGAGAUUGUUUUGAUCAGAAUGGGCAAAAUCUUCUGGGGCCUUUCAACCAGGUGCAGUUUCUCAAAGAACGUAUUCCAGACAGACAUGAUCCUUCCAGUGUGUUGGGUUUUUGCUCUUACAGUCCAACCCGUCACCAUAUUCUACCUAAAAACAUUGCAGUUGCUGGAGGCCUUUCCUUUCAGAAAACACUUAUUAUUGUUUGGAGAGUCUGAUCUGGGAUUGCUUUGGAUUGAUUUUCAGGGGAUGUUAUCUUUUUGAUAGUCAGUUUACACUUACACAUAGUUCCUUGGUGUCACUAUGUCGUUAACAUAUCAUAUGUCACUAACAGUGUGAUUUAAUUUAAUUAGGUGUCCGAAAUGCAGGAUACAGGUCUGAGCUCAGAGGCAGCUGGCACCUGGAUCAAAGACUCAGGGUACCACUGGACUGAGAGUCCGGAGUUAGAGGUGGAUGCGACAUCAGUAACCCCACAAGACCAAUCCCAUGAUGCACCUAGUACGAGCAGUACUAGUGAAGUGGGACACACAGGGACCAGUUCCCCUGCGAGUGAGAUCACUCCAGCACAGGUCUUCCCUUAUGGCGUGGUGUGUCACCAUUAUGGGAAUGGCGUGGCUCCGGAUGUCCUGAGGAGCAGGCUGGAGGAGCUGAUCUCCAGAGCCCUGCCAGACCUGGAGACUGAGGAGCCACUGGAGUCUAGAGUUCAGCCCGCUUGUCUCCAGCCCUUGGACAGCCAAGACCUCCUCGGCCUCACUCAGAGUGUAGGGAAUGACAGCUCCUUCAGCUCCCAGGCACAGAGCAGGGAGACCUUCGUCAUGGAGGGCACAGAUGAAAGCAUGUGUCCCUCUCUGGAGGAGGCCAGGAGGUAUGCCAUGACCCCUGGUGGCAUGCACAGUCCUCCCUCCAGUGCCCUGGGGGAUGUUAGUCUCCUUCAAGCUGCUGCACAUCGCCUGGCUGAUGUGAAUCCCCUGGAAGUGUCUGCACAUAUUCUUCCAUGCGGCCUCCCUGGGCUUUCAGUGAUGAUGAGGAAGGUCCCACCUUCUUCCUGCACCUACAGUGGUUCAUCGUCUUCACCGGGACCUGCCAUUACAAACAGGGACCUGGCGGACACCGUUGUUUCUGGAGGCUUGAGCUCGGGCAGGCAGCUGGAGCUGAUGGAGGAGGACCUGAUGGCCGCCAGGCAGGCUCUGCAGCAGAAUGCCCUGGUUGAGGAAGAAGUGAAACAGAAGAGACUUAAAACUUCAAGUCAAGAUCAGAUACUGGCUUCAGCCAAGAGGAAGCUAGAGGAAGGGAUACAAGCUAGGGCUGCUCUGGAACAAGAAAAGUACAGCCUGCUGGAGAGUCUGGACAAGAGCAGACAGGAGACAGAGGUAUUACAGGGCAUUUGGGCUCAGAAGGACAAUGGGUCUGA
Molecule: long non-coding RNA, 1450 nt
Filed under: Lepisosteus oculatus (spotted gar)
Lineage: Eukaryota; Metazoa; Chordata; Actinopteri; Semionotiformes; Lepisosteidae
Description: lncRNA (ENSLOCG00000023036.1)
Source: RNAcentral